This 2929-nucleotide long non-coding RNA is filed under the name Medicago truncatula (barrel medic). RNAcentral's name for it is "long non-coding RNA (MTRU_LNC003666)". The record is from RNAcentral. Lineage: Eukaryota; Viridiplantae; Streptophyta; Magnoliopsida; Fabales; Fabaceae.
CCAAAUUUCACAAACUCUUCUCGAAGCAAUUGAAAAAUCAAGGCUUUCAAUUGUUGUUUUGUCUGAAAACUUUGGAUAUUCCACGUGGUGUCUUGAUGAACUAGACAAGAUUAUCAAGUGCAUGAAGACCAAGAAUCAAUUGGUUUGGCCUAUUUUUUACAAAAUAGAACAAUCAGAUGUAAGCAAUCAAACAAAAAGUUAUGGCAAAGCCAUGACAGCACAUGAAGAUAGAUUUGGAAAGCAGUCUGAGAAUGUACCAUCUACUAGUUGUUUUAAUAAUUCAAAAUUGUGUUGGACGUGUAUCAUGUACUUGGGAUACAUGCAAUUUCUAAUCGGUAAAUAACACAUCAAUACCUUCUAGUUUGUAAUUAAACAUUGAUCUCUCUUUUUUUUUUUUUAUUCAAAAUCAUAUACAACUCCCUUCCACUUAACACCACCGUUGGUUAGUUCUCGGUUAUACAAAGAAGUUAAAGCUCGCCAAAAAAAUGAUAAAUUCAAUGGCGGAAAAAUUCAAGUCAUAAUGUAGACGGGGGCGUGCUUCAAUGCGGCUGCGUGCACGGGGACUGACGUGUUCCCUCAUGUCACAAUGCCUCAUUCAGGGUCUACGUGCCUUCAUAUGAUGGACUUUCUAGCGGUCCAGAACAAUAUAUAAGAUUUAAAAUAAGAUAAUGUUGGGAGUUAUGUUUAGAAUAAUUUUAGAAUACUGGUUUAGAAUGAGACUUUUCCAUUUAAUUAUUAUAUAUUGCAUCGAUUUCCAGCAAUUGUUUCACAACUUGAAAUUUUUUUCAUUGCUAAUUGAAUUUGUUAUUCUAAUCAAGAACAACUUGACUUGUUAGGAUUGGGUUGAUUUAUUCCCAUAAAUUAAUAAAUAUACUUUCAUGAAUCAUUCAUCAUUGCGUACCUAAAAUUAUAGUUUGUCAUUUUCAUCAUAUAAUAAUUAUAAAGGAAAGAAAGACCUUGACCAAAAAAAAAUAAAAAGGAAAGAAAGACAAAAGAGGGUUCUAGGACAAACCGCAUGAAUUCAUGGCAUUUUGUUGCUUAAUUUUAGAUGUUUGUGACAUAUUGUACAUUGUCAAUGUUAGAAUUUUUUUCAUAGCCUCAUUAGUAUCGAUUAGUGUUCAAACUAAUUAGUCUCAACUCUUCUAUGCUUUUGCAACAUCAGAUCCUACAAGACACUAUAGUUAUGUUCAUUCAGUAAUUCAAAGACUAAAGAAAAACAUGAUGAAUAAAAAUCAGGUUGAUGGCAGCUACAAGUACGAUGUUUUUUUAUGUUUUAGAAAGGUGGACACUUACUAUACCUUCACAGGUAGUCUCUAUCAUGCUCUGCGUAACAAGAGAAUCAAGACCUUCUACCCACAUGAAACUGAUAUUAAGAAACUUCAACCUUCUCCUAUUGUGCUCAAGGCAAUUAAGGAAGCAAGGAUUUCUAUUGUUGUUCUCUGAAAACUUCGCAUCCUCCACGCGUUGUCUAGAUGAACUUGUUAACAUCCUUGAGUGUAUGAAGAUGAAAAAUCAACUUGUUUGGCCAAUUUUUUUUAAAGUGGAGCCUUGGGAGGUAAGGAAUCAGAAAGGCCGUUUUGGCGAAGCCAUGUUGAAGUUAGAAAAAUGGCUUCAAAAUUAUCCUUACAGGAUACUGCAAUGGAAGAAAGCUUUGCAUCAAGUCUCCUUGAUUGCUGGAUGGAAUUACGGUGCUGAGUAUGUACUACUUUUCUAUAUACCACUAGUAGCAACCUAGUACUAGGGUUGUUCCAAAAAAAAACAAAAACUGAACAGAAGUGCUAAACCAAACCAAACCGCAUCGGAAAAAAGCAAACUGUGACUAACAGUUUUUGAACUGAACUGAACCAGUGAGACAUUGAUGUGAUUCAGUUUGGUUUAGCGUUUCGGUUUUUAGUUUUUUUAAACAUUCAUAAUAUUGACUUGGUUCGUUUUUUUUCCUACAGUUCUAGUUAUGAGUUAAUGAUAGCACUUUGGUAUCAUUCGGUUUGAAAACGUACAUUAAAAUUUUUAUAAAGGUAGUUUUGGUUCGGUUUAUAACUACAAAACAGUUGUACCGAACCUCUAUAAUAAAAGUUCGUUCAAGACAAAUCAAUAAUUGUUUAAUUCUUUUUUUCUGAGCUGUAGAAACAGUUCAAUUAAAUUAAAUUCAGUUUUCUUUUGGAACUCCAACGGUCAUAGACAUCACCUUUUGGAAGUAGAAGCUCACAUUUCUCCUCGUCUUCACUGUUAAAAUGAUCAUUUGACCAAUGAUGGAUUGACAAAAAUAAGAUAAAAAGAAUAUUCAUGUCUGGAAACUCAUCGAACAUACACAAUUCAGGUCUCAACCAUAAGGACCGUGAGAUUCUGCAUCCGAUGAGCGUCAUUCGAGUGAUUUUUUAAGUAUCGAUCCACCGUAAACCAACUAUCAAUAGAACCCGUGUUGUUUGUUGGGCUUUAGAAAUCUUGUUUGAGACUUUGUUUCAGGUUGUCAAUAUGCUCGAACACAAUAAUAGACUUUAUGAAUUAAAAUGAUCUGUGCAUUCAUAGGUUCGAAUAUGAACUCUUCAAGAAGAUUGUGGAGUCAACGGUACAAUCACUGCCUCGCUACGAUGUUUUUCUCAGUUUUUGCGGGGAAGAUACUCGCUACUCUUUUACAGGAUUUCUCUAUCAUGAUUUGCGUCAUGAGGGAUUCAAAAUCUUCAUGGAUGAUGAGGGAUUGAAGGGUGGAAACCAAAUUUCACAAACUUUACUCAAAGCAAUUGAAAAAUCAAGGCUUUCAAUUGUUGUUUUGUCUGAAAACUUUGGAUAUUCCACAUGGUGUCUUGAUGAACUUGUCAAGAUUAUGGAGUGCAAGAAGACCAAUAAUCAAUUGGAAUUGACCAAUAUUUUACAAAAUAGAACGACCAGAUGUAAGCAAUCAAACAAAAAGUUAUGGUAAAGCCAUGGCAGC